UGGGGGAUAUUGCACAAUGGGCGAAAGCCUGAUGCAGCGACGCCGCGUGGGGGAUGAAGGCUUUCGGGUUGUAAACCUCUUUCGCUAUCGAACAAGGCCCGCUUAGGGUGGGUUGAGGGUAGGUGGAGAAGAAGCGCCGGCUAACUACGUGCCAGCAGCCGCGGUAAUACGUAGGGCGCGAGCGUUGUCCGGAAUUAUUGGGCGUAAAGGGCUUGUAGGCGGCUUGUUGCGCCUGCUGUGAAAACGCGGGGCUUAACUUCGCGCGUGCAGGGGGUACGGGCAGGCUUGAGUGUGGUAGGGGUGACUGGAAUUCCAGGUGUAGCGGUGGAAUGCGCAGAUAUCUGGAGGAACACCGAUGGCGAAGGCAGGUCACUGGGCCAUUACUGACGCUGAGGAGCGAAAGCAUGGGUAGCGAGCAGG
This 420-nucleotide ribosomal RNA is filed under the name bacterium. RNAcentral describes it as "partial 16S ribosomal RNA". It matches the Rfam family "Bacterial small subunit ribosomal RNA", at positions 355 to 776 of the family's 1533-position model. The record is from RNAcentral.